AUGGCGACUGCGGAUCUCCGACCCCCUUUUAUUGGUUGGAGGCUGCUGCUGCUGCUGACGGUGGUGGAGGCGGUGGUCACCGACGCGGUGCUGUCGAUGCCCAACGCCCGGCGGCGGGCGACGAACUCCUGGGCCGCCGUCUGCGACACCUUCUUCUCCACCAAGGAAGUGUUGGAGGGCCACCGCGUCGUCUUCACCGUCGGCACCUCCAUUGCCUCCGCCCUCAUGGUGUGGCCAUCUUCUCAAGUGGAAGAUGAUCCUGCUGCCAUCAAGUCUCUGUUUCUUGUCAGUUGUUAG
This 297-nucleotide ribosomal RNA is filed under the name Triticum aestivum (bread wheat). RNAcentral's name for it is "partial small subunit ribosomal RNA". Lineage: Eukaryota; Viridiplantae; Streptophyta; Magnoliopsida; Poales; Poaceae. The record is from RNAcentral.